UACAGAGGUCUCAAGCGUUGUUCGGAUUCAUUGGGCGUAAAGGGUGCGUGGGCGGCGCGGUAAGUCGGGUGUGAAAUCUCGGGGCUUAACUCCGAAACUGCAUUCGAUACUGCCGUGCUUGAGGACUGGAGAGGAGACUGGAAUUUACGGUGUAGCGGUGAAAUGCGUAGAUAUCGUAAGGAAGACCAGUGGCGAAGGCGGGUCUCUGGACAGUUCCUGACGCUGAGGCACGAAGGCCAGGGGAGCAAACGGG
RNAcentral lists this ribosomal RNA (253 nucleotides) under uncultured bacterium. RNAcentral describes it as "partial 16S ribosomal RNA". It matches the Rfam family "Bacterial small subunit ribosomal RNA", at positions 524 to 776 of the family's 1533-position model. The record is from RNAcentral.